Petromyzon marinus (sea lamprey) is the source of this 1733-nucleotide non-coding RNA. The record is from RefSeq and is a predicted model, not a curated record. Lineage: Eukaryota; Metazoa; Chordata; Hyperoartia; Petromyzontiformes; Petromyzontidae.
AUUUUGCUGAUUGGCCGUGUCGGGUGGUGGAGGGUUACGACACAUUUAUAAAUAACGCGAUCUAACCCAAAAACCUUUAUUAUGAAUAAUAUUGGCCGCGAUAGCCUACUAAGUGUUAAACUGAGAAUCCGCUAUAUUUUAAUUGGAUUGACGAAUACUUCCCAGGAAUGAGCGCUCGGCGCCGUCUGAAACCGCUUCAGUGAUUGCGAACGAACGGAGCCCCGAUCGACGGCGAGAAAUCGAUUUAACAAUCGAUUAAUCGACUAAUCUCUUGCGUGUCCUGGUCCUUCGGGGGGGGGGGGGGGAGCUCGUUGCACACACCUCGCUCGCUCGCUCCGACACAGCCAAACGCAGCGCGUGUGCCAUUGUAAGCGAAGUCAUUCCCUGAUUUCGCUGUGAGCGCAGAUCGUGAUCACGAUUACGACCGCGGUCACGAUCAAAAUCGUGGCCGUGAUCGCGAUUACAGCCAUGAUCAAGAUCACGAAUCAUUUCCGUGAUCAGGCAUUGUCGGGGCGAUUAUUUUGAGGACCGUAUUCUAUAUAAAGUGUUCGUGUGAGCGCGAUGUAAGCCAUACACACACACACGCACGCGUGUUUGUUUAACACACACGUGUUAUGACACGCAAACACAUACACACGUGUUCUAGCACGCACAUGCACACGUGUUCUAACACACACAUACACACGUGUUCUAACACACACAUACACACGUGUUCUAACACGCGUGUUAUACCGCGUUUUCUUACACGUACCCGCUUUAACACACGCGUGUUAUACUACACACACACCCGUUAUAGCGCACACGCAGGCGUACUACAUACACACACACGGCUGUACUAACACACACACACGCGCGCGUGUUAUAACAAAUGCGCACGUUGAACUCAAUAUCUCUGACUAAUCCAUUACGCGGUCCCUGAUCAAGUGAGACGACUUAUUUAACGCAAUUGUCGCAUAGUUUGUUAUUGGGUUUUUUUGUCCGUGUGACUUACGCAGGCCUGCCACUUCGUCGGAUGGGUCAUCUGAAUAAUCCUGAACUCUUACAUGGUGACCUAUAUGCUUCCAGUUUGCGCGUGCACUGGGGCGGGGCCUCCCUCCCUCUCCGAGUCGCCGCCGUCUCGCCUUCACUGAGCAACGGGGAGAGAGAGACGGUGGGGAAUGAGACGCGAGACUCUGUGGGGUCGAUCCAAGUAGGUGGACUGGGUCAUCGCCUCGGUAUCGUGGAAUUACCGCCACUGACUCAGAGGCCCCCACCACCACCACCGCCGCACGUAGCGGUCUCUCGAGUCCCAUGCUUCUGGGUAAGGAGCUCCCACUGGGAAUGACUCUCUGGAGGUGAAGUCCUCUGGAGCUGAAGCCCGACACACACAGUGGAACUGCCAUCGGACAAACAGCAACCCCGGUGCUGAGAAAUCUCGCCGCAAAUCAUCGCUCAACCGGGACCGCACAACAGCAGCAGUGGCAUCGAUCUCACACCGAACACUGGGCAGGACCCUCCUGAAAAGCGGUCUUGAGACUCGGCGAGGCUUUCCUGGGUCCACGGUGAGCAUCGAGGCAUCUUCCUGUUCACAGCCCUGCAGCACCAGUGGUGGAAAUUAAACAUUCCUAUGGCGGCACGCGUGGCUGUGGACACGUGGCGGUGGACGCGUGGAUGUGGACGCGUGGCUUUGUACGCCUGGCUGUGGAUGUGCUCCCGUGUGAGGAGGCGAUCCAUCAUGAGCCGGAUCCAUUCCG